RNAcentral lists this transfer RNA (80 nucleotides) under Blumeria hordei DH14. RNAcentral's name for it is "tRNA-Ala for anticodon AGC". It matches the Rfam family "tRNA". From Rfam's summary of the family: Transfer RNA (tRNA) molecules are approximately 80 nucleotides in length. Their secondary structure includes four short double-helical elements and three loops (D, anti-codon, and T loops). RNAcentral also lists the same sequence under 1 other name. Lineage: Eukaryota; Fungi; Ascomycota; Leotiomycetes; Helotiales; Erysiphaceae. The record is from Rfam by way of RNAcentral.
GGGCUCGUGGUUUAGUGGUAUAAUACUCCCUUAGCAGCGAUGAUUGGGAGUGGUCCGGGGUUCGAUUCCCCGCGAGUCCA